UUUGGUCUAAGACAGGGGGAAAUCCCAAAGUUGAUGAAAUGAAUAUAUUCAAGUUUUCCAUCUAGCAGCAUUUGCCUUAUCUAUUUUGCACCAUCUCUAAGAAAGUUACAUCUCAUUUGUUAUGCAAUGUUAACAACAUAUAAGAGUGCAUAGAAGGAAGGCAGUAGCAAUGUAUUUAUUAUCACAGUCCAUGUAAUACAGUCAGUCCUCAACAUUUGCUGGGGUUAGGGGCAAGGGGUACUCGUGGAAGUGAAAAAAUGCAAAUUGGAGGAUCUCGAAAUGCCUACAGGCAAUAUAGGCCAUGGGAGGGGCAGUAGCUCUUAAUUCCCUGCUGCCAUGCUGCGGCUCAAGUGGGGAGGAUGAGCAGGGAUGUGUAGAUUUCACAGAUGACCACUCAAAGAAACAUGGUUACAGGUAAGCAGCCAUUAUUUCUCUUUUGUGGCCUCUGGUGAAAUGAGGACAUAUGGUAGACUAGCAAGCCACGUACCUUGGUUGGUGGGCAUCAUGCCACUGCUGAGAAGAUUGCUCUGCCAAAUGUGGUAUGUCUCUGGGACUGGAUGUCUAUCUUGUAAUUGGUUGCAAAUGUGCAACGUCCACAGAGAGGAGAGGCUGGGACGGCAAUGGUAAGCAUGGCUGCACCGCAGAUGAUUCCUAUGGUUCUUGCACUCCCCUUAUCUUCCGCUUCUUUUGGCUGGCUUCUGCACAGGUGAGGGGGUACGACUGGCGUUUGGCCACUUGUGCUGGCCGCCUAUGUCCUUGGCAUCAGGCUGGGCACUGGAUCCUGGCACCAGAGCUGCUGGCCCGAAUGGAGCCAGUGCAAGUGCCUUUUCACAAAGGUGGGCCUUCAGUUGAGCCUCCCGGCUCUUCUUCACCCUUAGCGUAAGCACCCGGCAAGCAGGGAAAGAGUGCACAGAGUGCGCCUCGCCCAAGCAAAGAUGGCACAUAGAAUGUGUGCCUCCCUCAGGGAGCUUAUCCCCACAGGAGGUACAGAUCUUAGACAAAAGUCUAGUCAUUAUACAGACCAGGUCGGGGUGCCAGAAAGGUAAGGAUAGUCAGGCCGUUACGGGUCAAGGUUUGGAGAAAGCAAGCUUAAGUCAAAACCAGUCCAAAUCAAGAUCAAUAAAGUUUGUAAAGUCAGAGAGGUUUCUGCUAUGCUACUGCAGAGUCGGUGGAAAAAAGGAACUAAGGGCUACUGUCUCUCCCACGGGCUAUAUUGCCUCCUGGGGUAUGUGGGCGGGGCCGUAGCUACAAGCCUGAAAGCUUUCUAGAAGGUUCCGUUGAUUGUUGCAUAGGUGCAUCAACUAUCCUAUAUGUUCAUUUCACCAGAGACCACAAAGGAGAAGACCUGUUACUGAAUUUUGCAAGCCUACUUUCAAAAUGCAGAAAUAUUGAACAGAGAAGAAACCAAUUUCAAAAGCACAUUUCAAUGUCCAUGAAAGUAUUUCUAAACAAACCUCGACAUGUGUAGAACGUAUUGAACAGGAAGCAAAUUCUACCUACCCGCCCUCGUUCUGUGAGAGUUGUCAACAUGAUAAUUAGUGACAAUUUGUGAUCCCAAACUGCUUGCCAGAAAUGAACACAGGAAUCCUCAGAGUUGAUAACAAGGAUGUGGGCGUGUUAAGAGGAAAAGAAAAGACCCGUCAGUCUCAGAAGACACUAAGGAAAGCAGAUGUCCUGGGACAUAGCAUUUUUGCUGACAAGCUUGAAGACGUAGCAGCAGCAACAAAAAACAAUCACGUCAGUUGGGUAUCACUGUAAUCAAACCAAAGGACACUCUAGAUCAGUGUUUCUCAAACUGUGCUCCUCUAGGUGAUUUGGAUUUCAGCUUCAAGAAAUCCCAGCCAGCUUACUAGUUGUUAGAAAUUGUAAGAUCUGAAGUCCAAAACAUCUGGAGGAGCAUAGUUUGAGAAUCUCUGGUCUAGAUUAAUUAAUAACUCCUCACUACAAAAGACCAGGCCUUAGCAACAUGAUAAACAGAGCUGGAUUUAAGCAAAGCAGUGAAGAACCUGGAACAAUGAAAGACUUGGCAUGUACUAUAAGUAUAGCCAGACACCUGGAAGAAGGCAAGAAAAAUAUCCUGAGGCAUGAAGAAACCCAAGAAUUAAAUAGAUGCAAAAUUCACAUGAAGAAUAAGAACAAUAAAAACAAAAUGCUAGCCAAAUUGUUAGCCUAGCUCUAGAAAUUUCUAAAGAAUACAUAUCUGUAGAAGUUGUGUGUGUGUGGCUGCACAGGGGCAAUUAAGAAAAUGUGGAAGUUAUAAAGGAACAGAUGGAAAAAGCAUUUAUGUUUAUUACAAAUACACAAAUUGGGGAAAUUAUGAAUGCAUAUUAUGAAUACAUAUCCUGACCAUAAUAUUCUAGAAGUUGCAAAGAAGAGCUUGGUAUAUUGUUAGAUGGAUGUCAUCCAGAUAUACUGUCAAUUAAAAUUUAGAUUGUCAUAAUGAUACUGAAGAGAUAGCACUGCAAAAUAUUAAAAUAGCCAAUUAAAUUGCUGCCUUCAUAUUUGUUUUCUUCUGAAACAGAAAACAGAGAAAGGUCGACCUGAACUGCUUCAGCAAUAGCUUCGCCUGCAAUUAUAUUGCAUCUGCACUUUAUUAUCAGUCCUGGUCCUAUUGUCCUGAGUUUUGCACAAGCCCAGCCCUUCCCUCGCAAUUCUCAAUAGGCCCACUGUUUGGUUAUGUGAUGUUGAUCGAUGCAUUUUAUGAUGUUUUUAUUUCUUUGGUUUUAAUUGUUUUUAAUUACAUUGUUUUUGUUAUGUGUUUUAAUUUUGUACCUUGAAUUCCAUGCUUAUUCUGGGCUUCACAAUGUAAGCCAUUCCGAGUCCCUUUGGGAAGAUGGAGGCUGUUUAUAAGAAUAAAGUUAUUAUUAUUUAACAAAAUGGGAAGGCAUAAAGAUUAGGGGUGGACAUUAUGGGGAGGGAAUUGGGAGGCAGGUGAGGGAGGGCAAUGGUAACCAAACCUGUAUAGGUCCUUUUUAACUUGUGCAAUAUAAUAAUUCUAUUUCGGCCAGCACCUUAAACACUCUGACUCAAACACUACAUCAGCCCUGUUGGCUUGUCGCCAACUGCCUUUUUACAUUUAAUAUUUUAACUGUUUACUAAUAUUAGAUCUAUUAGUAAAUAUGUCCUAAAUGUUUGAUUUAUAUAUUAAAAUUUCUAUUUUUUA
Long non-coding RNA from Anolis carolinensis (green anole), 3163 nucleotides. RefSeq lists it as uncharacterized. The record is from RefSeq and is a predicted model, not a curated record. The transcript is spliced from 3 exons. NCBI's taxonomy places the organism in Eukaryota, Metazoa, Chordata, Lepidosauria, Squamata, Anolidae.